CAGCAGCCGCGGUAAUACGGAGGGAGCUAGCGCUAUUCGGAAUUACUGGGCGUAAAGCGCACGUAGGCGGCUUUGUGAGUUAGAGGUGAAAGCCUGGAGCUCAACUCCAGAAUUGCCUUUAAGACUGCAUCGCUUGAAUCCAGGAGAGGUGAGUGGAAUUCCGAGUGUAGAGGUGAAAUUCGUAGAUAUUCGGAAGAACACCAGUGGCGAAGGCGGCUCACUGGACUGGUAUUGACGCUGAGGUGCGAAAGCGUGGGGAGCAAACAGGAUUAGAUACCCGCGUAGUCUCUGUCUCUUAUAC
This 301-nucleotide ribosomal RNA is filed under the name uncultured bacterium. Its description in RNAcentral is "partial 16S ribosomal RNA". It matches the Rfam family "Bacterial small subunit ribosomal RNA", at positions 509 to 807 of the family's 1533-position model. The record is from RNAcentral.